GGAGCCGUCGACCAACUGGCAGGUCCCCGCCCUUUCAAGGCGGUGCGUGCGGGUUCGAACCCCGUCGGCUCUA
RNAcentral lists this transfer RNA (73 nucleotides) under Micromonospora sp. C51. Its description in RNAcentral is "tRNA-Glu". It matches the Rfam family "tRNA". From Rfam's summary of the family: Transfer RNA (tRNA) molecules are approximately 80 nucleotides in length. Their secondary structure includes four short double-helical elements and three loops (D, anti-codon, and T loops). Lineage: Bacteria; Bacillati; Actinomycetota; Actinomycetes; Micromonosporales; Micromonosporaceae. The record is from RNAcentral.